This 536-nucleotide long non-coding RNA is filed under the name Medicago truncatula (barrel medic). RNAcentral describes it as "lncRNA gene27599". The record is from RNAcentral. Lineage: Eukaryota; Viridiplantae; Streptophyta; Magnoliopsida; Fabales; Fabaceae.
CAACUUUUAUCGCAAAAGUACCAAAAUAUAUCUCUCGUAUAUAAGGAGUAGUUUAUGUUCCAACCAAGGUAUUGUGCCUUCAAAGGUCAAGGGUUUAGAACCCCUUCAUAUUUUUAGCUAAUUCACUUCGUCCAAUUUGAGAACGAUCUUAAAAUUAAAUAGGGUAAUAUGGUAGAUAAUAUUUUGAAAAGACUCUCCAACCCUAAAUAAGUUGGUCAUCGGAGCAUCUUUUUCGCCCUUCAGUGUCGCUAGUUCUUUUUUAGAAGGAAUAUCCUUCUCUUUCUAAGACUUGAGCUCAACUUUCACUAGACUCGGCUCCUCUUGAGAAGCCUUGAGUCCUUCAAGAGAAGGUUCCAACUCAACCUUUUAAGCAUUCCGACCCAUGGAAAGGUUCUUAUUCUCUUCACUCAAAAAUUUGACAUUUUUUUGACAAUUCAAACACCUUACUCCGUUAAUAUAUUGUCAUUUAGCUAAGGAAUCAAAGAACGGUGACUUUUAAGAUACAUAAAUUGUUAAAUUUAUGCACCCAUACACAA